AAGGAGGAGUUUAGGUAUUUUCAAAACCCUGACUGUUAUCAAUCCAUACAGAUAACCUCCCAUCAGAAGAUAAAAUCGCCAUGGCGGCUGCUGCCGCUGCGAUUUCUUCAUUGCGAAUUGCCUUUUGUCCGGCAAAAACAAGCCCUAAGCACUUCCGAUGCCGGAGCCAUAAACUCGCAAUGUGUUGUUUUUCAUCUUCCUCCUCUUCUGCCUCUGAACUCGACAACCUCCCGGCUCCGUAUUAUCUCCCCAAUACCAAAUGGGAUCCCUUCCGCAAGAAAAAGGUUGUAAUGCGCGUCGGCUACAUCGGCACCGAUUAUAGAGGCUUGCAAAAGCAACCGGAUCAGCCCUCUCUAUCAACUAUAGAAGGAGAACUGGAAAUUGCUCUCUAUAAAGCUGGUGGAAUUCGAGAUAGUAACUUUGGUAAUUUGCACAAAAUUGGAUGGGGUAGAAGUAGCCGUACAGAUAAAGGAGUUCAUUCCUUGGCAACCAUGAUAUCACUUAAAAUGGAAAUCCCUGUAUAUGCAUGGAAGGAAGACCCCAAUGGCAUCUCUCUUGCAAAUCACAUUAAUUCUUACCUUCCUCGUAGUAUCAGAGUUUUUAGUGUUUUACCUUCACAAAGGAGCUUUGAUGCUAGAAGGGAAUGUAAUAUCCGCAAAUAUUCUUAUCUCCUACCGGCUGAAAUAAUUGGAAUUAAAGAUACCUUAAGUGCAGCUGAAAUAGAUUGUCACUUGACCGAGUUUACCAAUAUUUUAAGCUCUUUUGAGGGAGAGCAUCCUUUUCAUAACUAUACAAUACGGUCCAAGUACAGGAAACCAAGUAGUGCAAGAGAUUCUUCUAAAACUGGUAGUGGGUCAAAGAUAGCGAGGUUAUCUAAUGAGGUAUUGGACCCUGAAAAGGAAGACUAUGAUGAAGAAAAAGAAGCAACAAACUUUGAUGUUGAGGAGGGCGGCAAAGAAAUUAAUACCCAAAAAAGUGAUGCAUUAGCAACAGAUGUUGAAGGAAUGAACUCCAAGUUUUCUAGGUUUAACAAACCUGGUAAACUUAUAUCGGGCUUGUGUGAUUCUCCUAAUAAUGAUUCACAUGACCAAUAUCCACUUUCGGCUUGUCAAGCAAGAUGGCUAUAUGAACCUGACAAGAAAGACAAACUAAGUGCUUCUCAUUUUAGAAAGAUUUUUCACUGUUCUUGUGGAAAGCUGGAGCGAAUUCUUGAUAUAAGUUACGUGGAGAUAUCCAUAUAUGGAGAAUCAUUCAUGUUGCAUCAGAUUCGCAAAAUGGUUGGAACAGCUGUGGCGGUGAAGCGCGAUUUACUCCCACGCGACAUACUUAUGUUGUCACUGAACAAAUUCUCACGGAUUGUCCUACCCCUCGCUCCAUCUGAACCCUUGAUUUUAAGGGGAAAUGACUUUGUUUUGAGAAACCAAUCUGGCAAUGUGACUAGACCUGAAUUGCAGACGCUAGUGGAAUCAGAGGAAAUUCUGAAGUUGGUUGAUGAUUUUUAUAUGUCAUUAGUCGUACCAGAAGUUUCGAAUUUCUUAAAUAUUUCAAAAUCUCCUUGGAGGGAAUGGGUAGCAUUACUGGAUGCAAACACUGGUAUUCCGGAUUCACAGUUGGAUGAAGUCAGAAAUGCUUGGCAACUUUGGAAGGAAACUUUUCAACACAGAACCAAUGAUAUGUCAAGAUAAUCAUUUGUACGCAUAAAAGUGAGCAGGAAGAGUACAAAGCCAUGCUUCUAGGAUGCAAGAAUGCUAGAGGGCUAGUUAUCCUACUAGCGGUAGAAAUAAGGAAGCACUGGGAUGUAGUACAUACUAAAGUCACCCAACUAGAAAGCUGGUGGCCAACUAUUACAUAGGAAAGUUUAUGCAUCACGAGUCAUAGAAGUGAAGGCCAGUAGUGACUCACUGCUGGCUGGCAUGAUAACCAUGGUGGCAAUCCUUGAGAUGUAGACUCUCUGUUGGUUGCAGCUGGUGUGGAACAUUGAGGAGAUAGCAGAUGAUGGUGGGCUUGUGACUGCAUACCCAACUUCAGCGAGGAAGAUGGCACUAUUUCACCCGUAGUAAAUCUUAGCCUUUCCACUUCUCCCAUCAUUGCUUCUGUUAUAUCUGUUUACGUAUGUGUUGUAUAACAUAUUAAUAUGUUAAAAAGGAAAAUAGAUUCCAAACAUGUUCGGUUGGACAUAUAUGACAAUACUAUGAAUAUAUCCUUUUAUCUUUUCAUUUC
This is an RNA transcript of Daucus carota subsp. sativus, 2220 nucleotides long. It is a transcript of the gene named putative tRNA pseudouridine synthase, with no coding region annotated. The transcript is spliced from 9 exons. The record is from RefSeq and is a predicted model, not a curated record. NCBI's taxonomy places the organism in Eukaryota, Viridiplantae, Streptophyta, Magnoliopsida, Apiales, Apiaceae.